Long non-coding RNA from Capsicum annuum, 917 nucleotides. RefSeq lists it as uncharacterized. NCBI's taxonomy places the organism in Eukaryota, Viridiplantae, Streptophyta, Magnoliopsida, Solanales, Solanaceae. The transcript has 2 exons. The record is from RefSeq and is a predicted model, not a curated record.
UGUUGAUGGAGAUUUAGGAACUGCCGGUGUGGUCCACAAAUUACACUAUUUUAGUACUCAUUAGAAACAAAUAAGUUCCAUCCAUUCAUUGACGUAGGAAAGUUGGAUCUUUUUUUUUUUAGGGAAAUAAAAUAAAGUCAGCUAUCACCUUUUUCAAGAGACAAAAGGGUACUCAUGCUGAUUAGAAGAUUUGCUUUGUCUUGCAGAGACUCAACAUAAAGAAAAUUCCAUAUGUUUUGUCAUGAAGGAAAAAUAAGAUGGAUCACAGUCAAGGAAUGGAAAUAUAAAUGACUGGUUCUUGCUUGCAGGGGUUCUUGGAAAAUAUUAAUGGGGAAUCAUUAGAGUUCAUUUUGGUGGAGGAACUGAUCCAAGGAUAUGAGCUUCCGUGGUUAACAUCUGCAUCUUCUUUUGGCUUCAUAAUUACAAGCUUUCAUAUUCUACUCAAACGUAAACAGAGUGGAAGUGGUUACUCAAUAUUUAAUUACCUAAAGGAAGUCAUGAUUUCACGCUAUUUGGACAUCUGUUCUAAUAAUUAUGUGUCGCUGGUUUAUGAAUUCAUAAAGCUAGUUAUAGGGAUCAACCGCUGGCUUUUUAAUGAAGGCAUAUGCAUGGAGAUUUCAGUUGUCCUGUUGGAGAUAUGUUUAUGGGAAUAUGAUCACCUCUAGCUUCUGAAAAGAGUGCUGCGUACAUUCUUAUGUUGUUGUAUGCUAAAAUUCUUGAAAACAUAGUGGAGUCUUAGGCGUUGAGGUCCACUAAUGCUGACCAACACUAACUUUUCUUCUCUAUGUCUCUUAUAAAAACAUUUGUUGAUAGCAAGUACUAUGCGUUCAAACUUGCUUUUGCUGGCUUCACGAUGUAAACCUCAAAAAAGAAGAAGAAAACUGCACUGGAAUACACAUCAAUUACCUCUUUUUCCA